AUUGAACGCUGGCGGCAUGCCUUACACAUGCAAGUCGAACGGCAGCACGGGAGCAAUCCUGGUGGCGAGUGGCGAACGGGUGAGUAAUAUAUCGGAACGUGCCCAGUCGUGGGGGAUAACGCAGCGAAAGCUGUGCUAAUACCGCAUACGAUCUACGGAUGAAAGCGGGGGAUCGCAAGACCUCGCGCGAUUGGAGCGGCCGAUAUCAGAUUAGCUAGUUGGUGGGGUAAAGGCCUACCAAGGCGACGAUCUGUAGCUGGUCUGAGAGGACGACCAGCCACACUGGAACUGAGACACGGUCCAGACGCCUACGGGAGGCAGCAGUGGGGGAUUUUGGACAAUGGGCGCAAGCCUGAUCCAGCAAUGCCGCGUGCAGGAUGAAGGCCUUCGGGUUGUAAACUGCUUUCGUACGGAACGAAACGGUGAGCUCUAAUACAGUUUGCUAAUGACGGUACCGUAAGAAUAAGCACCGGCUAACUACGUGCCAGCAGCCGCAGUAA
Molecule: ribosomal RNA, 500 nt
Filed under: uncultured bacterium
Lineage: Bacteria
Description: partial 16S ribosomal RNA
Rfam family: Bacterial small subunit ribosomal RNA
Source: RNAcentral